UACGUAGGUGGCAAGCGUUGUCCGGAUUUAUUGGGUUUAAAGGGUGCGUAGGUGGUCUUGUAAGUCAGUGGUGAAAUACGGCAGCUUAACUGUCGAGAUACCAUUGAUACUACGGGACUUGAGUACAGACGAGGUAGGCAGAAUUGACGAUAUAACGAUGGAAUGCUUAGAUAUCGUCAAGAACACCGAUAGCGAAGACAGCUUACUAGACUGUAACUGACACUGAGGCACGAAAGUGUGGGGAUCAAACAGG
RNAcentral lists this ribosomal RNA (253 nucleotides) under uncultured bacterium. Its description in RNAcentral is "partial 16S ribosomal RNA". It matches the Rfam family "Bacterial small subunit ribosomal RNA", at positions 524 to 776 of the family's 1533-position model. The record is from RNAcentral.